UUAGUUUAAUAAAAAAUAUUUUUACUGAAAAUCCGUUGGUUUAUUUUACGGAUUUAUAGUUUUCUUAAAUCAAAAUGAAAGUUUGUGGUCCAAAAUAUGCCCUGUGUGGCCUCAUUUUAUCUACUUGGGGAAUAAUUCAGCUGCUCCUCAUGGGAAUAUUUUUCUAUAUAAAAAGUGUAGCUUUAAUCGAAGAUAUCUCUCUAGAAGGACUGGAAAUUUCAACUCCAGAAGAGUUUUAUACUCACGUUGAUUCAGGAUAUACUCAAAAUGCCUACAAUUGUUGGAUAGCUGCCUGUCUCUACGUUUUUACCUUCCUAUUUUCUGGUCAUCAAUUUUAUGUUAAUUCAAGAACAUCAUUAAGUGUUUAAAAUUUCAUCAUUUAGCUUCUUUGUAAUUAUCAAAUCCUCCUAAUUACCAUGAAAAUAUAAAUUCUUCGUCUAGUGAUACUAUUGAGCAAAAAGAAAAUGAGAAAGUAAAAAGCUGAGUGAGCAAGUUAUUUUAUCAUGUAUAAAAAGUGUUUUUAUCUAUGUAAAUGGUUAUCAUUCUAUUUGAAGAGUCUAUCCAAUUAUUAUUUAUAUAUUUUAACUUGAAAUAAUUUUUAUGAAUUCACUAUAAUUAUUUAUUUGCCAAUUGAUCUGUUAAGUAAAAUGUUAUGCGUUUUAAAUACGAAAAUGCAAAUAAAAAUCAUAAAGAUUUCUUUGAAGCAUUCCAUAUUAUUUGUAAAUUUUA
This 729-nucleotide unclassified non-coding RNA is filed under the name Chelonus insularis. RNAcentral's name for it is "ribonuclease kappa-B, transcript variant X2". Lineage: Eukaryota; Metazoa; Arthropoda; Insecta; Hymenoptera; Braconidae. The record is from RNAcentral.